AGUGAACGCUGGCGGUAGGCCUAACACAUGCAAGUCGAACGGCAGCACAGUAAGAGCUUGCUCUUACGGGUGGCGAGUGGCGGACGGGUGAGGAAUACAUCGGAAUCUACUUUUUCGUGGGGGAUAACGUAGGGAAACUUACGCUAAUACCGCAUACGACCUACGGGUGAAAGCAGGGGAUCUUCGGACCCUGCGCGAUUGAAUGAGCCGAUGUCGGAUUAGCUAGUUGGCGGGGUAAAGGCCCACCAAGGCGACGAUCCGUAGCUGGUCUGAGAGGAUGAUCAGCCACACUGGAACUGAGACACGGUCCAGACUCCUACGGGAGGCAGCAGUGGGGAAUAUUGGACAAUGGGCGCAAGCCUGAUCCAGCCAUACCGCGUGGGUGAAGAAGGCCUUCGGGUUGUAAUGCCCUUUUGUUGGGAAAGAAAAGCAGCAGGUUAAUACCCCGCUGUUCUGACGGUACCCAAAGAAUAAGCACCGGCUAACUUCGUG
Molecule: ribosomal RNA, 492 nt
Filed under: uncultured bacterium
Lineage: Bacteria
Description: partial 16S ribosomal RNA
Rfam family: Bacterial small subunit ribosomal RNA
Source: RNAcentral